RNAcentral lists this ribosomal RNA (752 nucleotides) under uncultured bacterium. RNAcentral's name for it is "bacterial SSU rRNA". It matches the Rfam family "Bacterial small subunit ribosomal RNA", at positions 57 to 789 of the family's 1533-position model. The record is from RNAcentral.
GCAGUCGAGCGAGAAAGCAACUUCGGUUGCGAGUACAGCGGCGAACGGGUGAGUAACACGUGGACAACCUACCGUAGAGUGGGGAAUAACCAGGGGAAACUCGGGCUAAUUCCGCAUAAUUCCAUCACUCCCUGGAGAGAUGGGGAAAGGGGGCCAAUUCUUGAAAGCUCCCGCUCUUCGAGGGGUCCGCGUCUGAUUAGCUUGUUGGUGGGGUAACGGCCUACCAAGGCAGCGAUCAGUAGCCGGCCUGAGAGGGCGAUCGGCCACACUGGAACUGAGACACGGUCCAGACUCCUACGGGAGGCAGCAGUGAGGAAUAUUGCGCAAUGGGCGAAAGCCUGACGCAGCAACGCCGCGUGGAGGACGAAGGCCUUCGGGUCGUAAACUCCUGUCAGAAGGGACGAAAAGGCUUCGGUUAAUACCCGGAGCUCCUGACGGUACCUUCAGAGGAAGCCCCGGCUAACUCCGUGCCAGCAGCCGCGGUAAUACGGAGGGGGCAAGCGUUAUUCGGAAUUAUUGGGCGUAAAGCGCGCGCAGGCGGCUUGGCAAGUCAUAGGUGAAAUCCCUCGGCUCAACCGAGGAACUGCCUAUGAAACUGCCUGGCUCGAGGUCGGGAGGGGGUGAUGGAAUUCCCAGUGUAGCGGUGAAAUGCGUAGAUACUGGGAGGAACACCGGUGGCGAAGGCGAUCACCUGGACCGAUUCUGACGCUGAGGCGCGAAAGCGUGGGGAGCAAACAGGAUUAGAUACCCUG